RNAcentral lists this ribosomal RNA (910 nucleotides) under uncultured archaeon. Its description in RNAcentral is "bacterial SSU rRNA". It matches the Rfam family "Archaeal small subunit ribosomal RNA", at positions 6 to 922 of the family's 1478-position model. The record is from RNAcentral.
GGUUGAUCCUGCCGGACCUGACUGCUAUCGGAUUGAUACUAAGCCAUGCGAGUCAUUGUAGCAAUACAAGGCAGACGGCUCAGUAACGCGUAGUCAACCUAACCUAUGGACGGGAAUAACCUCAGGAAACUGAGAAUAAUGCCCGAUAGAACACUAUACCUGGAAUGGUUUGUGUUCCAAAUGAUUUAUCGCCGUAGGAUGGGACUGCGGCCUAUCAGUUUGUUGGUGAGGUAAUGGCCCACCAAGACUAUUACAGGUACGGGCUCUGAGAGGAGUAGCCCGGAGAUGGGUACUGAGACACGGACCCAGGCCCUAUGGGGCGCAGCAGGCGAGAAAACCUUGCAAUGUGCGAAAGCACGACAAGGUUAAUCCGAGUGAUUUGUGCUAAACGAAUCUUUUGUUAGUCCUAGAACCACUAACGAAUAAGGGGUGGGCAAGUUCUGGUGUCAGCCGCCGCGGUAAAACCAGCACCUCAAGUGGUCAGGAUGAUUAUUGGGCCUAAAGCAUCCGUAGCCGGCUCUGUAAGUUUUCGGUUAAAUCUGUACGCUUAACGUACAGGCUGCCGGGAAUACUGCAGAGCUAGGGAGUGGGAGAGGUAGACGGUACUCGGUAGGAAGGGGUAAAAUCCUUUGAUCUAUUGAUGACCACCUGUGGCGAAGGCGGUCUACCAGAACACGUCCGACGGUGAGGGAUGAAAGCUGGGGGAGCAAACCGGAUUAGAUACCCGGGUAGUCCCAGCUGUAAACUAUGCAAACUCAGUGAUGCAUUGACUUGUGGUCAAUGCAGUGCUGCAGGGAAGCCGUUAAGUUUGCCGCCUGGGAAGUACGUACGCAAGUAUGAAACUUAAAGGAAUUGGCGGGGGAGCACCACAAGGGGUGAAGCCUGCGGUUCAAUUGGAGUCAACGCCGGG